This 274-nucleotide ribosomal RNA is filed under the name uncultured bacterium. RNAcentral describes it as "partial 16S ribosomal RNA". It matches the Rfam family "Bacterial small subunit ribosomal RNA", at positions 523 to 796 of the family's 1533-position model. The record is from RNAcentral.
AUACGGAGGGGGCUAGCGUUGUUCGGAAUUACUGGGCGUAAAGCGCGCGUAGGCGGCUUAUCAAGUUAGGCGUGAAAGGCCUGGGCUCAACCCGGGAACUGCGCUUAAUACUGGUAGGCUUGAGUCCGGGAGAGGGUGGCGGAAUUCCCAGUGUAGAGGUGAAAUUCGUAGAUAUUGGGAAGAACACCAGUGGCGAAGGCGGCCACCUGGCCCGGUACUGACGCUGAGGUGCGAAAGCGUGGGGAGCAAACAGGAUUAGAAACCCCGGUAGUCC